Molecule: long non-coding RNA, 932 nt
Organism: Daphnia carinata
Lineage: Eukaryota; Metazoa; Arthropoda; Branchiopoda; Diplostraca; Daphniidae
Exons: 4
Source: RefSeq, a predicted model, not a curated record
UAAAAUCAGCCCAAUCAAGGAGCAAGGACCUUAGGGUUGUAUGGAUUUAUUCAAAACAAAAAUUAUGCAAAAGAAAUCUCAGAGGUGCUUUUGUUUUAUUAUGUCAUAGCUUUCAGGGGCGUCAAAUAGACGAAACUCAAAUUACCAUCAGUUGCCAUCAUAGUUACAUCUGCUUCGUCUAGUGCUGUCCUGGAAUUUCUUGGUCGUAAAAACUAUCGAGUUGUCCGCCAUGCACGUUUUAAACAAAUCAGCCGAACAUGGUUGUAUAGGAUAUGUGUCGUGUGUCCCAGGCAGUGUCAUUUCCAGCCCUUUCUUGUGGUAUGUGUUUAAUACAGGCAUAUUAGAUGUGGAGCCCUUUGCUGUGGAUAAAAUUUAUGCAGGAAAAAAAACUUCAUGAUAAUGGUGCAUUUGGAACUGACACAAGCUACUGGAUUUCUACCCCUUAAUGGCUUCCAUUAAAAUUUCAUGCAAGGGUUGAACGAAGUCCUUCCUGGAAAAGCUUCCUUCGAGAAUAAUAGUUGGAAAGUGAGUUAUCCUAAAUCAAGGUAUGGGCUUCUUCAAAGACAUAACCUCCAUUCUAUUUUGAUUUGUGUAUAGAAAUUGAAUGCUCUCUUUUUAAAGUUGUAAAAUAUUGUGCUUGAACGAUUGGUAAGUUAAUAGUUUCUACUGUUUAGCUUGUUGGUGCUUUCCUUUUCAUCUUUUUUUGCUCAUAGAACCAAAUUUUCUUCUUUAGUAUAAAAAAACUACUGCGAGAGAAUACAUAGUGAUUGCCGUACAGCCAACCCGUUUACAACAUCGAUUGCGUGACGCUUCAAAUUCAGCUUAUUUGACCAGAAUAAUGAAGAUGAGGAAUGAACUGGGCAUCAAAAUGUGGGGACAUGAGGCAUAGAGCUGUUUAUUUGUGGAAAAAAAUGGUCAGCAAAUGAAAGUUU